GGUAGGGGUGUCCUGAAGCCUGAGGCAUGGGCUGCUGACUGCGACUCCAGACUCCUCAUGCAACCAACAACUCCCUAAUGAAUUUAGCCAUAAUCCCUCUGUCCUAACAAGUCAGGAUCCAGUGUUCACUUUUCCAAGGUCUCUUCUGUCCCAUUAUGUUCUUAUUACAGAGCAUCUACUACCAGAUGGAUGAAGCUUCACAUGUUCAAAGGAAGCCAGAAAUUCCCAAAAUGUUGCCAACUGACGCCACUUUAUAAAGAAUGAAACCUCAGGGCUGGGAAGCCACCACUUGAUUGCUAACUUGAGCUGUGUCCCUUUCACUUCUGUCUUUGUCAUUCUUGAACUGAGAUGCCAGAUAAAAUGGGAUGCGUGGUGAAAUGUGAAUGUCAGAUAAACCACAAUUUUUUAGCAUAUGCUUCCCCAUAAAUUCACCAUAAUAGACUUCACUUGGCACUAUAUACUCUUACCUUUUAAAUCCUACUCAGGAUGAGACUAUAGUAGCAGACAGACAAUUCAAUCAGGAAAAAAAAAAGCUAGGAAGGGUCCUUUAGAAAGAUCUUCAUACUGGACAAUGGAGGGACCUAGCCCAGUAAUCACGUGGGGUCAAGGGUAUGCCUUGUCUUUCCAGAGCAUGCUGUCUGGCUGUAUCAUGGACCCAAACCAAGAAAAGGAGUUGGUUCCACCUUUCAAGAAGCUGAUGCUCAGUCCUGUGGCAGUGAUGUGUCAGAGACCUUGCCACAGCCAACAGACUAGGAUGAGGUCAUACCCAACCUGGGGCCAAUUAGAGAAAUUGACCCAGGAUGCUCAGCAGAUGGUAACCAAGAGCAGAAAUACCUACAACCCUGCUGCAAUUUUCUUGGCCGUGCUUACGCUGGUCUCUUUGCAGGAGAGAGGGCUCCACCUGACCUCAGCUUUUAUAUAUGGAUUCCUGUCUUCAUCCCCCAACAUCCUGUUUCCAGACUUUCAAGAGCUGUACCAGACAUGGAGACUGAAGGCAGGGCCUUGAGGACUGUGAGCCCACAUUCUACCCCUGAGCUGCACACCCCCGGUCCCUGAAUUCAUCUUUCUAUUGAGGUAUAACACAUAGAAAAACACGCAGUUCAUUCAACUUAGUGAGUUCCCAAAGUGAACACAUCCGUGCAAUAACGAUGAGGAUUGUGCUUCAGAACACGCACAGUACCCCAGAACCCUGCCCCGAGCCCCUCCUCAGGGCGUAGUCCAACCCUUUUCCUCCAAGGUGGCCAUGCCCUUGACUCCUAGACUGGUUUAUGGUGAUCUUUUCUUGGUGCUCCCUUUGAUAACUCAGGUGGUAGAGCAAAGGACUGUAGAAUAUAAUUAUCUUUCUUUGGUGCUUAAAUUGCCAGAACUUGAGGGGUAGAAGUGAGGGGAGGAAAAUGGGAAAAAAAGAAUCAAUUUAUCUCAUGUACAGGUACAAAUUCCCUAUGAUGAAUGUGAUCAUUAUGUAUAUUUAAAGUCUACCAAUAAAAUCUGAUUGGGGGAAAAAUUGCCACAACUUUGUCCGAUGGAGACCCUUUCGAGAUGGCUCCUUUCUCCUUGUGAUGCCAUUAAUUUUUUUUUUUUUGAUGCCAUUAAUUUUUUUUAAUUUUUUUAUUCUUUUUUUAUUAUUUUAAAGAGUAAAAGAAGGAUAACAUAGUAAUGGGGCUUACCGAUUUACAGACAAAGUGGUAGGAAAUUAUCAAUGGUUGUUGUUUUACAUAUUGUUAUCUACAAGACAGUUUCUCAGGAAAACAAAUAGACAAAUAAUAGUGAGUUACAGACAAAAGUGGUAGGUUAUUAUCAAUGGUUGUUGUACUACACUUUGGUAUCUUCAAAGUGGUUUCUAAAGAAAAUAGAGCUAUACAUGAGUGACUUAUUGAAUAAUCAUUGACUGUUCUCAAUGGUUGUUGUAGGAAACACAUAAUAAUAAACAUACAUCCAUUUAUGAAAUAGCAUAGGAACAAUACAAACAGUACAGAGUUAUGGACAGAUUAGUAGGAAAAUAUCAAUGGCUGCUGUAAUACAUGGUGGUAUCUUCAAAGUGGUUUCUCAGGAAGACAGAGAUACGCAAGAAAGAUCUAACAAGUAGUUACAGCCUAAGGGUUGUGAAAAACAGAGUGACUCCUUUCACUGAGGUAUGAUGGCUGGAAGGAAGGCCAGGACUGAAAAGAAGGACCGAGGGACUUGCACCUGUGUCUAUCAACAGGCUGUUUUCUUUUUCCUCUAUAGUCAUCAUUACCCGGGGCCCAUCAGUGCAGAAGUUGACCCCAACUGUUUGAAAGCACUAUUUUCUGGUGCACCAAAUAAUUGUAUACUCAGAGUUUGCCCCCAAUGCCAUUAAUUUUUGAAAGCAUCUAUUUUCUGAUGCACCAAAUCACAAACAUUGUAUGGUUCCACAGAAUAAAGUGUGUAGAGUAGUCAAACUCUGGCAAACAGGAAUAGGAAAUUAUUUCAUGGGUACAGAGUUUCAGGGUUUUUUGUUUGUUUGUUUAUUUGUUUGUCUGUUUGUUUUUUGAGACAAGGUCUUGCUGUGUAGUUCAGGCUAACCUUGAAUUCUGUGCCGCUCAGGCAGGCCUCAAACUUGUGGUGAUCCUCCUGUUUCGGCCUCCCAAAUUCUGUGGUGCAUCGCCAUACCCAGCAAAAAGUAACUUUCUGUGACACACAUAGGCAUCAAAGUUUCACUCAAAUAGUUCAUCUGAGAGCUGACUGUCUCUGGAUUUUAUUUUUUUUUUGGUUGGGUUUUUUGAGACGGGUCCUUGUUACAUAGUUCAGGCUGGCCUUGAACUUGCGGUGAUCCUCUUGCCUCAGCAUCCCGAGUGUUGGGAUUAUAGGUGUGCACCAUCAUGCAGGGCUCUGUCUUUGGAUUUUGAAUUCCAUUAGUUUAAGGUUCUUAAACUGAGAAAAAAAAUAUUUGCAUCACCUGCUUUAUCACUAAGACACAUUUGGUUAUUUAUUUAAAAACUCAGAUUUCACUGGCAGAGUUCUUGCCUCGUAUGCACAAGGCCCUGGGUUUGAUCCCCAGCACCACACACAUGCAAAAAAACCCCUCAAAUUUAUGUAUGUAUGUAUGUAUUUAUUUUGGUACUGGGAAUUGAACUCAGGAUCUCACCCCUGCCAGGCAGGCACUGUGCCACUGAGCUAUAUCCCUAGCCCACAUUUGGUAAUUUAAAGUCAUCAAAUGUCAGAGCUGCAAGAACUGUUGGAAACCAUGAGUAGGUCAGUCCCAGCCCCAUUUUACAGAUGUGGAAACCAAGGUCUAGAGAGGCUAACUGACUGGUUCAAAGACACAUAAUGAUUACUCCUGACAUCUGGUUCAGGGUCCUUUUUCACUGAGGAAUACUGACAAACUCUUUUGCCAGCAAUGGACAUAUGUCAUGGAAUAGUUCAGUACUAGAGCCUUUGCCUGGCAGAUGUAAGGCCCUGGGUUCAAUCACCAGGACUGGAAGAGAAAGAGAGAGAGAGAGAGCGAGAGAGAAGACAAGAAGGAGGAGGAGGAGAAGGAGAAGAGAACAGGAUUACAGGUGUGUGCCACCACGCCCAGCUUGGAUUAUAUUUCUCUUUUGUUUUCAGUUACUUUUUGUGUGUGAUGCUGUGGUUUUGUUUGUUUGUUUUUGGUUUUGUUUUUUCCGGUACCGGGGAUCGAACUCACGACCUUGCGCUUGCCAGGCAGGCGCUGUGCCACUGAGCUAAAUCCCCAGCCCCAAUGCCCCGAUGCUGUGGUUUUGAACCCAGUGCUUGGCCUGUAUUAGGCAAGUGCUCUACCCUGAGCUACACCUAAGCCUGUGUUCUUUUGGUCUAAAUGUUUUUAGGAGAGUGAGAAAUAGCAAUAGUAAGAGAGCACAUUCUUGUCUUAUUUAUAAUGUUAAUGGGAACAGGUCUGGAGUUUUCUGAUAGUUUUCUGAUGUAUUACUUAGAUUUACAAAUGCAGGUCCGGUGUGUGGUGCAUGCCUGUAAUCCCAGUACUCAGAACUCAAGGCCAGCCUGGACUACAUAGUAAGAUCUUGUCUUAAAAAAAAAAAAAUCAUGGAAAAUUUGAAAUAUGUAAAUAAACAUUUCAUAUCAUCUCUAAGAAAACCAGG
Chinchilla lanigera (long-tailed chinchilla) is the source of this 4076-nucleotide long non-coding RNA. NCBI's taxonomy places the organism in Eukaryota, Metazoa, Chordata, Mammalia, Rodentia, Chinchillidae. The record is from Ensembl.